AGCUAGCCUAACCGCAACGGGGCGGUUGCCACGGUGAGAUUCAUGACUGGGUG
RNAcentral lists this ribosomal RNA (53 nucleotides) under uncultured bacterium. RNAcentral's name for it is "partial 16S ribosomal RNA". The record is from RNAcentral.